AACGCACCUUGCGCUCCUUGGUAUUCCGAGGAGCAUGCCUGUUUGAGUGUCUUGAAGUCAUCAACCCCUCCCGUUUCGUGCGGAGAGGUGCGUUGGAACUGGGGGCUUGCGGUCGAGAGGCCGCUCCCCUCAAAUGCUUCGGUUGGGCCUGCGGGUCGAACUCGGUUCGGGCGUUGUAACCACCUCGCUCUCCUCCGAGACGUUCCCUGCCAUCGUGCCCCUCCACGACCGCCUAUCGAGCGGUGGUCAAAACAACUCUGAAAUCUGACCUCAAAUCAGGUAGGACUACCCGCUGAACUUAA
RNAcentral lists this unclassified non-coding RNA (302 nucleotides) under uncultured fungus. RNAcentral's name for it is "partial contains 5.8S ribosomal RNA, internal transcribed spacer 2, and large subunit ribosomal RNA". The stretch from base 1 to 52 matches the Rfam family "5.8S ribosomal RNA", at positions 103 to 154 of the family's 154-position model. The record is from RNAcentral. Lineage: Eukaryota; Fungi.